Molecule: long non-coding RNA, 212 nt
Filed under: Capsella rubella
Lineage: Eukaryota; Viridiplantae; Streptophyta; Magnoliopsida; Brassicales; Brassicaceae
Description: long non-coding RNA (CRUB_LNC000236)
Source: RNAcentral
UUACAAACCGCAAACUCUCUUUUCUUCCUUUGUUCGAUCAAACUCUUCUAAUCUCUUUAUUCUCUCGAUCUUUUACUUCAAAUCUUACAUGGUAUCAGAGCCAGGUUGUUCUUAACCAACCUAUUGUCUCAUCCACCUCGUUCGCAACUCUAUUCUCUUUGGCUUCAUCCAUUGUUCUUGAAACCACCAUUCGCUCCAAAUCUUUACCCGUC